This 228-nucleotide ribosomal RNA is filed under the name uncultured Bacillus sp. RNAcentral describes it as "partial 16S ribosomal RNA". It matches the Rfam family "Bacterial small subunit ribosomal RNA", at positions 302 to 523 of the family's 1533-position model. Lineage: Bacteria; Bacillati; Bacillota; Bacilli; Caryophanales; Bacillaceae. The record is from RNAcentral.
GAUCGGCCACACUGUACUGAGACACGGCCCAGACUCCUACGGGAGGCAGCAGUAGGGAAUCUUCCACAAUGGACGAAAGUCUGAUGGAGCAAUGCCGCGUGAGCGAAGAAGGUUUUCGGAUCGUAAAGCUCUGUUGUAAGGGAAGAACACGUACGGGAGUAACUGCCCGUGCCAUGACGGUACCUUAUUAGAAAGCCACGGCUAACUACGUGCCAGCAGCCGCGGUAA